RNAcentral lists this transfer RNA (77 nucleotides) under Olavius algarvensis associated proteobacterium Delta 3. RNAcentral's name for it is "tRNA-Arg-TCT". It matches the Rfam family "tRNA". Rfam says of the family: Transfer RNA (tRNA) molecules are approximately 80 nucleotides in length. Their secondary structure includes four short double-helical elements and three loops (D, anti-codon, and T loops). The record is from RNAcentral. Lineage: Bacteria; Deltaproteobacteria.
GCGCCUGUAGCUCAGUUGGAUAGAGCAACGGACUUCUAAUCCGUAGGUCGGGUGUUCGAGUCACCCCAGGCGUACCA